Cricetulus griseus (Chinese hamster) is the source of this 89-nucleotide non-coding RNA. The record is from Rfam. Lineage: Eukaryota; Metazoa; Chordata; Mammalia; Rodentia; Cricetidae.
CCUUCGAUAGCUCAGUUGGUAGAGCGGAGGACUGUAGUGGAUAAGCUGUAGCGAUCCUUAGGUCGCUGGUUCGAUUCCGGCUCGAAGGA